This 324-nucleotide unclassified non-coding RNA is filed under the name plant metagenome. RNAcentral's name for it is "partial contains small subunit ribosomal RNA, internal transcribed spacer 1, and 5.8S ribosomal RNA". The record is from RNAcentral.
UUUCCGUAGGUGAACCUGCGGAAGGAUCAUUAUUGAAUAAACAGUGUGGGUUGUUGCUGGCCUUCUGGCAUGUGCACGCCUGCCAUAUGUUUCAUUCCCUUCUUUCCACCUGUGCACUAUGUGUAGGCUAUGUAUGCUGUAUUGUCAGGCCCUUCAUAAGGCUUGGUUUAGAGAGGAUGCUUGUCUUUAUGAGACAGGCUCAUCUUGGGCGUACAGGUCUAUGUUUUACACCAACACCAAAUGAAUGUCUUAGAAUGUAUCUUUUCAGGCUCUUGCUAGCCUUUAAACCAUAUACAACUUUCAACAACGGAUCUCUUGGCUCUC